CGAGGUGUAGCUCACCUGGUAGAGCGCUUGUUUUGGGAGCAAGAGGCACGGGGUUCAAGUCCCCGCACUUCGACCA
This 76-nucleotide transfer RNA is filed under the name Clostridia bacterium. RNAcentral's name for it is "tRNA-Pro". It matches the Rfam family "tRNA". Rfam says of the family: Transfer RNA (tRNA) molecules are approximately 80 nucleotides in length. The record is from RNAcentral. Lineage: Bacteria; Bacillati; Bacillota; Clostridia.